This 401-nucleotide long non-coding RNA is filed under the name Phoenix dactylifera (date palm). Its description in RNAcentral is "long non-coding RNA (PDAC_LNC001024)". Lineage: Eukaryota; Viridiplantae; Streptophyta; Magnoliopsida; Arecales; Arecaceae. The record is from RNAcentral.
AUUUGUAGUGGCUAACUUUUCUAUUUAGCUCGAUCCUUGUAUUCCUGAUAUGCUGCAAAUCAUUAUUUUUGUCGUAUAAUUUUGUUGACGUUACUCCACCUUUGCUAUACGUUGCUUAUAAAUCUUGUUAAUAAGGUGGAACACUAUAAUCUGAUGGCACCAUCUUCUUGAGAAACCGUAGCGUCACUUGUGGAUACAGACAGCCCUCUAUCAGUUAGAUUCUGUAUGUUGGAUUUUCCUUUAAUAAUAAUAAAAACCUAUCCAUAUUUGGUAAAAAAUUUAGAAAUUAUGAGGAAAAAAAAACUCUCACCAUUGUCGAAUGAUGCGAACCAGUUGAUAUGCCAGUUUUUGCUGAGAAUGACGCAGCACACUGUUUCUUAUUUGGUCAGAGCAGCUGGUAA